This 297-nucleotide signal recognition particle RNA is filed under the name Suricata suricatta (meerkat). RNAcentral's name for it is "Metazoan signal recognition particle RNA (ENSSSUG00005003861.1)". It matches the Rfam family "Metazoan signal recognition particle RNA". Rfam says of the family: The signal recognition particle (SRP) is a universally conserved ribonucleoprotein. It is involved in the co-translational targeting of proteins to membranes. Lineage: Eukaryota; Metazoa; Chordata; Mammalia; Carnivora; Herpestidae. The record is from Rfam by way of RNAcentral.
GGGCGCGGUGGCGCGUGCCUGUAGUCCCAGCUACUCGGGAGGCUGAGGCAGGAGGAUGGCUUGAGCCCAGGAGUUCUGGGCUGUAGUGCGCUAUGCCGAUCGGGUGUCCGCACUAAGUUCGGCAUCAAUACGGUGACCUCUCGGGAGUGGGGGACCACCAGGUUGCCUAAGGAGGGGUGAACCAGCCCAGGUCGGAAAUGGAGCAGGUCAAAAAAAACUCUCGUGCUAAUCAGUAAAAUGCUACUUAAAAACUAACAUUUAAACAAAAUUGAUGAUUAUAUAAAUAACGUAUUUACU